UACGUAGGGUGCGAGCGUUAAUCGGAAUUACUGGGCGUAAAGCGUGCGCAGGCGGUUUUGUAAGCCAGAUGUGAAAUCCCCGGGCUCAACCUGGGAAUGGCAUUUGGGACUGCAAGGCUGGAGUGUGGCAGAGGAGACUGGAAUUCCUGGUGUAGCAGUGAAAUGCGUAGAGAUCGGGAGGAACACCAGUGGCGAAGGCGGCCUUCUGGACCAAUACUGACGCUCAUGCACGAAAGCGUGGGGAGCAAACAGG
This 253-nucleotide ribosomal RNA is filed under the name uncultured bacterium. RNAcentral describes it as "partial 16S ribosomal RNA". It matches the Rfam family "Bacterial small subunit ribosomal RNA", at positions 524 to 776 of the family's 1533-position model. The record is from RNAcentral.